This 88-nucleotide transfer RNA is filed under the name Vitreoscilla sp. Its description in RNAcentral is "tRNA-Leu". It matches the Rfam family "tRNA". Rfam says of the family: Transfer RNA (tRNA) molecules are approximately 80 nucleotides in length. The record is from RNAcentral. RNAcentral also lists the same sequence under 1 other name. Lineage: Bacteria; Pseudomonadati; Pseudomonadota; Betaproteobacteria; Neisseriales; Neisseriaceae.
GCCCCGGUGGUGAAAUUGGUCAGACACUCGGGACUUAAAAUCCCGCGCCCUCACGGGCAUGGCGGUUCGAGUCCGCCCCGGGGCACCA